This 254-nucleotide ribosomal RNA is filed under the name uncultured bacterium. RNAcentral describes it as "partial 16S ribosomal RNA". It matches the Rfam family "Bacterial small subunit ribosomal RNA", at positions 79 to 334 of the family's 1533-position model. The record is from RNAcentral.
CUUUCUUUGCUGGCGACCGGCGCACGGGUGAGUAACACGUAUCCAACCUGCCCUUUACUCGGGGAUAGCCUUUCGAAAGAAAGAUUAAUACCCGAUGGGAUAAUUAUUCCGCAUGGUUUGAUUAUUAAAGGAUUCCGGUAAAGGAUGGGGAUGCGUUCCAUUAGGUUGUUGGUGAGGUAACGGCUCACCAAGCCUUCGAUGGAUAGGGGUUCUGAGAGGAAGGUCUCCCACAUUGGAACUGAGACACGGUCCAA